RNAcentral lists this ribosomal RNA (253 nucleotides) under uncultured bacterium. RNAcentral's name for it is "partial 16S ribosomal RNA". It matches the Rfam family "Bacterial small subunit ribosomal RNA", at positions 524 to 776 of the family's 1533-position model. The record is from RNAcentral.
UACAGGGGAUGCACGCUGUCAUCGGAAGAACUGGGCGUAAAAAGCGCGUAGGUUGAUAAUUAAGUUGGAUGUGAAAGCCCCGGGCUCAACCUGGGAUGGUCAUUCAAGACUGGUUAUCUAGCGUAUGGUAGAGGGACGUGGAAUUUCCGGUGUAGCGGUGAAAUGCGUAGAUAUCGGAAGGAACACCAGUGGCGAAGGCGGCUUCCCGGACGAAUACAGACUCUGAGGCGCGAAAGCGUGGGGAGCAAACAGG